CAGCAGCCGCGGUAAUACGAGGGGGGCAAGCGUUGUUCGGAAUUAUUGGGCGUAAAGGGUGCGUAGGCGGUUUGGCAAGUCUAGUGUGAAAUCUUCGGGCUCAACUCGAAGUUUGCACUGGAAACUGCCGGGCUUGAGUAUGGGAGAGGUGAGUGGAAUUUCCGGUGUAGCGGUGAAAUGCGUAGAUAUCGGAAGGAACACCUGUGGCGAAGGCGGCUCACUGGACCAUUACUGACGCUGAGGUACGAAAGCUAGGGGAGCAAACAGGAUUAGAUACCCGCGUAGUCCCUGUCUCUUAUAC
RNAcentral lists this ribosomal RNA (301 nucleotides) under uncultured bacterium. RNAcentral describes it as "partial 16S ribosomal RNA". It matches the Rfam family "Bacterial small subunit ribosomal RNA", at positions 509 to 807 of the family's 1533-position model. The record is from RNAcentral.